Molecule: long non-coding RNA, 2339 nt
Organism: Rhododendron vialii
Lineage: Eukaryota; Viridiplantae; Streptophyta; Magnoliopsida; Ericales; Ericaceae
Exons: 3
Source: RefSeq, a predicted model, not a curated record
UUCUGGAUGGACAAUUUUACCCCUCAAUAGUUGGGGCCUUGUGCUUGCUGGGUUGUCCAAAAUUGUCAUUUUAAGUUUUCCACAUAGUGGUCUACGUGGCACAGUGAAACGAAGUGGCUCUUCUAAGCCUCACACGUACUCUUGUCAGCUCUCACACGUACAUCUUCUCCAACCUUCCCCGUUCUCACCGAGGAUCCCCAUUCUCUCUCUCUCUCUCUCUCAACUGAGCCGUCGCCAUGGCGGUGAGUCACUCUCACCCUAUCAGUUGCACAGAUUCUGCAUGUCUCUGCAUCUCCUGCUAUCUCUUCCCUCUCGCCGGCGGUCCUCAUAGGGCGCUCCAGUGUACUGAACAGAUUAACGAUCUCCUGAUUCUACUUGGUAACAAGAGUUUUGUGGUUUCCUAAGGAACACUCUCGGAUUCACCGACCCAUCUGAUCAAAGGUCAGAAAUUCACCCCCACAGUAGUGAUCUUGCUUUCAAUCUUACUGUGUUUUGCUUCUGUCGUUUGUUUAAAUUUACUGGAAGUUUUUGUUUGGUUCUUUUUGUUCGUCUUUCUUUUGCUUCGACUAUUUAUGUUAUGCUUUUUUUAGGUUUUCCCAUGUCAGCCUAUUUCUAAAGCUGUCUCGCCAAAAGGUUCAAAAACCUCCCAACCCCUGAAUGGUAAGUCAGAUUAAUGUUUUUUGGGUGCUGAUGUGUCCUUUUUUACUUGGGUGAUGUGAUCAAGAUUUCAACUUUUGCUUUUUAUAUUGUUUGGUUUUUUCAUUUUGUAAUUGAGUAUGGAGUGCACAUUUGAGAACUUAAUAUGAAAGAUUGGUAUCAGUUAAGAUUGAUACAAAAAAUAUGGAUGUUGAUAUUAAUUAUUAGUGUGCAAAAUUUUCUAAAUUCGUGAUGAUAUAAAUCUCAAGUUCAUAUGUUGAGAAGAUGGGACUCAUUUCAUGGCAGGGCAACUGAUGUUGCAACCAUGGUGGGAAAACCUUUGUUUUACAAUCACAAUACAGACCUGAGCCUCAUGCUUUCCAUCAAUUUAUUGCCACACUUCAUUGGAGCCUGUUAAACUAGGAACAACAUUUCUUUAUGUUGGUUUUGCUUGUGUUAAAGCUUCCCAUAUUAGAAAAUCAGGUUUUGUACUUUUUAUCGUCAUUUAUGUGUUGUUUUCUCUACAUGCUGUAGUUUUUUAGCAGUAUUUCAGCAUUACUUAAUUAGUUAGCAUACUAUGUGCUUUAGUUUCUAAUUGUCCUUUCCUUGGGCAACUAAACUAGCUAUAGUUUGAGGAGAAGAUAAUUUCAAACUUGUGUAGUCAGUAAUCUAUUGGUGUCCUCUGCUGAGAAAAUUGUUUUGCUUUGUAGGCAGUUGAUUUGUAUGUAUUAUUGAGCUCAUUUCUUCCUAAAGGGGGACAGAUUAUAUUUGUUGCUGUCUAUCCAUUUGAGUUUGGACUAAAGCAUAUGGAAGAGGAAGCAGUGCGUGGUCCAGUACUCCUAUUUGAUGACGACAAAGAGCAGAAUUGAAGUGAUGAUGACGAUGAUGAAAUUGAUGUUAAGAAUCUGCUUGAAUGUGAAUUAACUAGGCUAAGGUACAAGAUGCUGAGGAUGACGAUUUGCUUCUAAUGAUGAGUUUGAAGACGAGGAUAUACAUGACGAGAUAGAUCCUGCAAUGGAAGAACAAAUUAAUAGGUAAGCUUAUUGAGGUUCAUUUCGAGUGGGUGUUAUUUAUCUGUGAAUCAAGAUAUGCCAUUAUUACUCAUAUCUUGCAUAAUAUACAUUUUUGCCAUUGUCUCAUAAAUGUAGCACUCAUACUUUCCCAAGACCGCUAAACUGCCCCAUUAGGUGUAUUUUUUUAUCACUUUCGACUGCCUCAACACCCUGAUUUUAUUGUAGUGCAUUAUCUUCUAGGAGCAACAUCUGUCAUGGUAGUAUUGUAAAUGUGGAAUUUUCUUUUUCUUUUUCUUUUUCUCUGCUAAACUUUGCGCAAUGUUUUAAUUUUCCCGAGGAAUUCUUCAGCCGACAUAUUACAGAUAUGGAUAUGGAUAUGGGAACAGUUACGAGUCCUUCCUUGUGGGCUUGUAGCAAUUAUACUUUGUAUUGAAAGUUGAGAUUAAAUGGUUCUGUGAGUGACAAAGUGGUAUUGCCUAAGAGCUAGAGCUACAAAGUGGUGGUUUUAAGGUUUAAGUGUUGCAGUGAAGAAGUGAUAAAUACCAGACUUUUGUGUAAUUGAGAAACCAGGGUAUAUUUUGUGUCUAAUUAUGUAUUUUUUUCCCUCUUGUUUUGGUAUGAUCCAAAGUGAAUUCCUGAUCGGUAGCAUGCAUUCAUUUUAAAGUAAUAGCUUAACUUUGUCAUUUGCUA